RNAcentral lists this ribosomal RNA (620 nucleotides) under uncultured bacterium. RNAcentral's name for it is "bacterial SSU rRNA". It matches the Rfam family "Bacterial small subunit ribosomal RNA", at positions 239 to 860 of the family's 1533-position model. The record is from RNAcentral.
GAUUAGCUAGUUGGUGAGGUAACGGCUCACCAAGGCUGCGAUGUCUAGGGGUUCUGAGAGGAUGAUCCCCCACACUGGUACUGAGACACGGACCAGACUCCUACGGGAGGCAGCAGUGAGGAAUAUUGGUCAAUGGGCGCAAGCCUGAACCAGCCAUCCCGCGUGAAGGAAGACUGCCCUAUGGGUUGUAAACUUCUUUUGUACAUGAAGAACGUUUCUUACGAGUAAGAGAGUGACGGUAAUGUACGAAUAAGCAUCGGCUAACUCCGUGCCAGCAGCCGCGGUAAUACGGAGGAUGCAAGCGUUAUCCGGAUUCAUUGGGUUUAAAGGGUACGUAGGUGGCCCUGUAAGUCAGUGGUGAAAACCUGUCGCUUAACGAUAGGCGUGCCAUUGAUACUGYKRGGCUUGAGUCCAGUUGAGGUAGGCGGAAUGUGUAGUGUAGCGGUGAAAUGCAUAGAUAUUACACAGAACUCCGAUUGCGAAGGCAGCUUACUAAACUGACACUGACGCUGAGGUACGAAAGCGUGGGUAGCGAACAGGAUUAGAUACCCUGGUAGUCCACGCCGUAAACGAUGCUCACUGGCUGUAUGCGAUGCACAGUAUGCGGCCAAGCGAAGCGC